AUACUUACCUGUCAGGAGAGAUACCAGGAUCACGAAGGUGGGUUUUCCCAGGGCGAGACUUAUCCAUUGCACCCAGGAUGUGCUGACCCCUGCAAUUUCCCCCAAAUGUGGGAAACUUGACUGCAUAAUUUGUGGUAGUGGGGGGCUACAUUCGUGUUUCUCCCCU
RNAcentral lists this small nuclear RNA (166 nucleotides) under Castor canadensis (American beaver). Its description in RNAcentral is "U1 spliceosomal RNA (ENSCCNG00000014692.1)". It matches the Rfam family "U1 spliceosomal RNA". From Rfam's summary of the family: U1 is a small nuclear RNA (snRNA) component of the spliceosome (involved in pre-mRNA splicing). Its 5' end forms complementary base pairs with the 5' splice junction, thus defining the 5' donor site of an intron. The record is from Rfam by way of RNAcentral. Lineage: Eukaryota; Metazoa; Chordata; Mammalia; Rodentia; Castoridae.